This 468-nucleotide ribosomal RNA is filed under the name uncultured bacterium. RNAcentral describes it as "partial 16S ribosomal RNA". It matches the Rfam family "Bacterial small subunit ribosomal RNA", at positions 28 to 507 of the family's 1533-position model. The record is from RNAcentral.
GACGAACGCUGGCGGCGUGCUUAACACAUGCAAGUCGAACGGAAAGGCCCUGCUUGUGUGGGGUGCUCGAGUGGCGAACGGGUGAGUAACACGGGAGUAACCUGCCCUUGACUUUGGGAUAACUUCAGGAGACUGGGGCUAAUACCGGAUAGGAGCUCCUGCUGCAUGGUGGGGGUUGGAAAGUUUCGGCGGUUGGGGAUGGACGCGCGGCUUAUCAGCUUGUUGGUGGGGUGGUGGCUUACCAAGGCUUUGACGGGUAGCCGGCCUGAGAGGGUGACCGGCCACAUUGGGACUGAGAGCCGGCCCAGACUCCUACGGGAGGCAGCAGUGGGGAAUAUUGAACAAUGGGCGGAAGCCUGAUGCAGCAACGCCGCGUGCGGGAUGCCGGCCUCCGGGUUGUAAACCGCUUUCGCCUGUGACGAAGCGUGAGUGACGGUACUGGGUAAAGAAGCACCGGCUAACUACGUG